GACGAACGCUGGCGGCGUGCUUAACACAUGCAAGUCGAACGGAAAGGCCCUGCUUUUGUGGGGUGCUCGAGUGGCGAACGGGUGAGUAACACGUGAGUAACCUGCCCUUGACUUUGGGAUAACUUCAGGAAACUGGGGCUAAUACCGGAUAGGAGCUCCUGCUGCAUGGUGGGGGUUGGAAAGUUUCGGCGGUUGGGGAUGGACUCGCGGCUUAUCAGCUUGUUGGUGGGGUAGUGGCUUACCAAGGCUUUGACGGGUAGCCGGCCUGAGAGGGUGACCGGCCCCACUGGGACUGAGAAUCGGCCCAGACUCCUACUGGGGGCAGCAGUGGGGAAUAUUGCCCAAUGGGCCGAAACCAUAUGGCGGAACCCCGCCUGCCGGAUGACGGCCUUCCGGGUGUUAACCCCCUUCCCCUGAUACCAAGCCUGAGUGGACGUAAUGGGUAAAGAAGCACCGGCUAACUACGUG
Molecule: ribosomal RNA, 468 nt
Filed under: uncultured bacterium
Lineage: Bacteria
Description: partial 16S ribosomal RNA
Rfam family: Bacterial small subunit ribosomal RNA
Source: RNAcentral